GUGAAGCGGCAAGAGCUCAGAUUUGAAAUCGUGUUUCGGCACGAGUUGUAGAGUGUAGGCGGGAGUCUCUGUGGAGCGCGGUGUCCAAGUCCCUUGGAACAGGGUGCCUGAGAGGGUGAGAGCCCCGUAGGGUGCUGCGCGAAGCUUUUGAGGCCCUGCUGACGAGUCGAGUUGUUUGGGAAUGCAGCUCCAAGCGGGUGGUAAAUUCCAUCUAAGGCUAAAUAUUGGCGAGAGACCGAUAGCGAACAAGUACUGUGAAGGAAAGAUGAAAAGCACUUUGAAAAGAGAGUGAAACAGCACGUGAAAUUGUUGAAAGGGAAGGGUAUUGGGCUCGACAUGGGGGGUGCGCACCGCUGUCUCUUGUAGGCGGCGCUCUGGGCGCCCUCUGGGCCAGCAUCGGUUCCUGCUGCGGGAGAAGGGGCUCCGGAAAGUGGCUCUUCGGAGUGUUAUAGCCGGGGCCAGAUGCCGCGUGUGGGGACCGAGGACUGCGGCUUCUGUCUCGGAUGCUGGCAUAACGGCGCAAUACCGCCCGUCUU
This 536-nucleotide ribosomal RNA is filed under the name Pichia manshurica. Its description in RNAcentral is "partial large subunit ribosomal RNA". It matches the Rfam family "Eukaryotic large subunit ribosomal RNA", at positions 93 to 655 of the family's 3401-position model. The record is from RNAcentral. Lineage: Eukaryota; Fungi; Ascomycota; Pichiomycetes; Pichiales; Pichiaceae.